RNAcentral lists this ribosomal RNA (497 nucleotides) under uncultured bacterium. RNAcentral describes it as "partial 16S ribosomal RNA". It matches the Rfam family "Bacterial small subunit ribosomal RNA", at positions 28 to 507 of the family's 1533-position model. The record is from RNAcentral.
GAUGAACGCUGGCGGCGUGCCUAAUACAUGCAAGUCGAGCGAACAGACGAGGAGCUUGCUCCUCUGACGUUAGCGGCGGACGGGUGAGUAACACGUGGAUAACCUACCUAUAAGACUGGGAUAACUUCGGGAAACCGGAGCUAAUACCGGAUAAUAUAUUGAACCGCAUGUUUCAAUAGUGAAAGCCGUUUUUGCUGUCACUUAUAAAUGGAUCCGCGCCGCAUUAGCUAGUUGGUAAGGUAACGGCUUACCAAGGCAACGAUGCGUAGCCGACCUGAGAGGGUGAUCGGCCACACUGGAACUGAGACACGGUCCAGACUCCUACGGGAGGCAGCAGUAGGGAAUCUUCCGCAAUGGGCGAAAGCUUGACGGAGCAACGCCGCGUGAGUGAUGAAGGUCUUCGGAUCGUAAAACUCUGUUAUUAGGGAAGAACAAAUGUGUAAGUAACUAUGCACGUCUUGACGGUACCUAAUCAGAAAGCCACGGCUAACUACGUG